This 897-nucleotide ribosomal RNA is filed under the name Microbacterium oxydans. RNAcentral describes it as "bacterial SSU rRNA". It matches the Rfam family "Bacterial small subunit ribosomal RNA", at positions 139 to 1049 of the family's 1533-position model. The record is from RNAcentral. Lineage: Bacteria; Bacillati; Actinomycetota; Actinomycetes; Micrococcales; Microbacteriaceae.
UGGGAUAAGCGCUGGAAACGGCGUCUAAUACUGGAUAUGUGACGUGAUCGCAUGGUCUGCGUCUGGAAAGAAUUUCGGUUGGGGAUGGGCUCGCGGCCUAUCAGCUUGUUGGUGAGGUAAUGGCUCACCAAGGCGUCGACGGGUAGCCGGCCUGAGAGGGUGACCGGCCACACUGGGACUGAGACACGGCCCAGACUCCUACGGGAGGCAGCAGUGGGGAAUAUUGCACAAUGGGCGCAAGCCUGAUGCAGCAACGCCGCGUGAGGGAUGACGGCCUUCGGGUUGUAAACCUCUUUUAGCAGGGAAGAAGCGAAAGUGACGGUACCUGCAGAAAAAGCGCCGGCUAACUACGUGCCAGCAGCCGCGGUAAUACGUAGGGCGCAAGCGUUAUCCGGAAUUAUUGGGCGUAAAGAGCUCGUAGGCGGUUUGUCGCGUCUGCUGUGAAAUCCGGAGGCUCAACCUCCGGCCUGCAGUGGGUACGGGCAGACUAGAGUGCGGUAGGGGAGAUUGGAAUUCCUGGUGUAGCGGUGGAAUGCGCAGAUAUCAGGAGGAACACCGAUGGCGAAGGCAGAUCUCUGGGCCGUAACUGACGCUGAGGAGCGAAAGGGUGGGGAGCAAACAGGCUUAGAUACCCUGGUAGUCCACCCCGUAAACGUUGGGAACUAGUUGUGGGGUCCAUUCCACGGAUUCCGUGACGCAGCUAACGCAUUAAGUUCCCCGCCUGGGGAGUACGGCCGCAAGGCUAAAACUCAAAGGAAUUGACGGGGACCCGCACAAGCGGCGGAGCAUGCGGAUUAAUUCGAUGCAACGCGAAGAACCUUACCAAGGCUUGACAUAUACGAGAACGGGCCAGAAAUGGUCAACUCUUUGGACACUCGUAAACAGGUGGUGCAUGGU